GGACAGGCAUGUGAGGAGGAAGCCAUCUUGGACGUCUUGGCCAACCCAGCUUCAGAUUGACUCCAGCCCUAGCCCUCUCUGACUGCAACCUCAUGAGAGAUCCCAAGUGAGAACUGUCCAGCUGAGCCCAGAACCCCACAGAACUGCUGGAGAAAAUAGUACAUUGUUGUUUUAAGGCAGUAUGUUUUGGAGUGGUUUGCUACAGAACAAUACUGGAACAGGUAGCUGUGUAUAGGAGUUGCUGCUAGUUUCCCAUUUUCUUGGACUCGGUAACUUGGCACCCUUACCAGAGGUGCUGAUAAAGAUCCAGAUCUGGCUCUACUCAUUGCCUGAUUGGCUAGAACUUUACACAUCUGGAUGACAGAAAGAUACAACUCCAAAGAUGAGGAAACGAAGACGCAGCAUGACUGAUUUUCUCCAUGGUAGCACAACUCUGCAGCCAGCGCUUGAAUCCAGGUCCCUCUGACUCUACUGAACAUCCUCUCUCCCCUUCCCAAAUGCCCCAUUCAGAGCACAGGUCCAGGUAUCAGAAGAUGUACAUCUAGCCCCCUCUCAACUAGAAGCUGGGAGUGCGUCAAUGAGCAAAUGGCACAGCCUCUUUGGGUCUAGUUACCUCAGAAUAGGGGUUGUAAAUCCAAUGCACCGGUGCAGCAGUGGAAGGAGCUGCAGGGGCUCCAGAAGCACGACGGACCUGGAGGAGACUGUAUGCACAAUUGCCCAGAUUAUCUCCCCAGCAUCCGUUGAGGCUGCUGGAGAGUGUUGGCUAUUUCUUGGAACUCUGGAAGGAGGUGACAACAGGAGGAGAAGAUGAGUUGGGAGGAUGGAGGAAGAUAGACUCUCCUCUCCCACGAACAGGGAGGAGGCAGGAAAAGGAAAGAACGAGUUGGAGACGGCUUGCCCAUUUUGUCUUCCUACAAGGCUGCAGGGUCCAAUAACCUCUUCAUGAGUUACAAGGCUCCAACCCACAGGAAUCUUAUGAAUGGAAACCUUAGAAGGGAGUUAAAGGUGGAAAAGUGGGGUGCCCCUCCAGGAUCUGUCACUGCACAGCUGCCUGACAGCAAACACUAGUGGCAACACCUGGUGCACGAGAAAGCCUCGUUUCAGAGAUGAUACCACGACUGCAACUGUUUGAUUUUGCCUGGGAAACUCCAAGCCCUGCACAGCACCGUGCUACAGAUCCCUUCGGCAACUCUGUGUGAAGAGGAAGGGGCAGGAAUCAUUGGUCCCUUAUAUGGCUGGGAAAACGGAGCCCCAAAGACUUAGGUUGGGGCACAGCUCCAAGGUUUCUUUGCAGCCAUACAAUGGCCUUGACUCCCUAUACGGAUAUUUCUGUUAAUUUUUUUUUUU
Molecule: long non-coding RNA, 1347 nt
Organism: Choloepus didactylus (southern two-toed sloth)
Lineage: Eukaryota; Metazoa; Chordata; Mammalia; Pilosa; Megalonychidae
Exons: 3
Source: RefSeq, a predicted model, not a curated record